Zea mays is the source of this 396-nucleotide long non-coding RNA. RefSeq lists it as uncharacterized. The record is from RefSeq and is a predicted model, not a curated record. Lineage: Eukaryota; Viridiplantae; Streptophyta; Magnoliopsida; Poales; Poaceae. The transcript is spliced from 3 exons.
AGGAUCCAAGGGUCUGGAACAAAUCCCGUGAGCCCAAGGAGCAGCGGCGGUGGCGCAAGAAGACGAGCCACCCUCCUCGCCUCCGGUGACCUCUACUCGCUGGCGAGCUUCUCUCUGAUUGUCCCGGCUCCAGCUAGAGUAGGCGAGGAUGAGCCUCCCCCAUCCUGGGUGUUGGUGCCUGAUUCAUUUUAUCAAGUUUUGCUACGGACAUGAGCAAUAGAGAUCACCUUAGGAGGAGGGAGGAUGAUGAUGAUGACCUCUUCCUUUUGAUUCUCCCUUCCCUACAUCUCUUGGGCUAUCUUGGAUGUAAUAAAAAGAAAUUGAGUGAAAGCAUCUAGGCCCCUGGUUGGUUUUAGUGAUUAAUGACAACGUAAUGUUAUAUGUGACUAACGUGUG